UACAGAGGGGGCAAGCGUUGUUCGGAAUUACUGGGCGUAAAGGGCGCGUAGGCGGCCUGCUAAGUCGAACGUGAAAUCCCUGGGCUCAACCCAGGAACUGCGUCCGAUACUGGUUGGCUUGAAUCCGGGAGAGGGAUGUGGAAUUCCAGGCGUAGCGGUGAAAUGCGUAGAUAUCUGGAGGAACACCGGUGGCGAAGGCGACAUCCUGGACCGGCAUUGACGCUGAGGCGCGAAAGCCAGGGGAGCAAACGGG
RNAcentral lists this ribosomal RNA (253 nucleotides) under uncultured bacterium. Its description in RNAcentral is "partial 16S ribosomal RNA". It matches the Rfam family "Bacterial small subunit ribosomal RNA", at positions 524 to 776 of the family's 1533-position model. The record is from RNAcentral.